RNAcentral lists this transfer RNA (26 nucleotides) under Crossodactylodes sp. 2 MTS-2020. RNAcentral's name for it is "partial tRNA-Val". Lineage: Eukaryota; Metazoa; Chordata; Amphibia; Anura; Leptodactylidae. The record is from RNAcentral.
CACCCGUAGAAUCCUGGUUAUUGCGA